Molecule: ribosomal RNA, 2899 nt
Filed under: Klebsiella quasipneumoniae
Lineage: Bacteria; Pseudomonadati; Pseudomonadota; Gammaproteobacteria; Enterobacterales; Enterobacteriaceae
Description: 23S ribosomal RNA
Rfam family: Bacterial large subunit ribosomal RNA
Source: RNAcentral
UUAAGCGACUAAGCGUACACGGUGGAUGCCCUGGCAGUCAGAGGCGAUGAAGGACGUGCUAAUCUGCGAAAAGCGUCGGUAAGGUGAUAUGAACCGUUAUAGCCGGCGAUGUCCGAAUGGGGAAACCCAGUGCAAUUCGUUGCACUAUCGUUAACUGAAUACAUAGGUUAACGAGGCGAACCGGGGGAACUGAAACAUCUAAGUACCCCGAGGAAAAGAAAUCAACCGAGAUUCCCCCAGUAGCGGCGAGCGAACGGGGAGCAGCCCAGAGUCUGAAUCAGCUUGUGUGUUAGUGGAACGGUCUGGAAAGUCCGACGGUACAGGGUGAUAGUCCCGUACACCAAAAUGCACAGGCUGUGAACUCGAAGAGUAGGGCGGGACACGUGGUAUCCUGUCUGAAUAUGGGGGGACCAUCCUCCAAGGCUAAAUACUCCUGACUGACCGAUAGUGAACCAGUACCGUGAGGGAAAGGCGAAAAGAACCCCGGCGAGGGGAGUGAAAAAGAACCUGAAACCGUGUACGUACAAGCAGUGGGAGCACCUUCGGGUGUGACUGCGUACCUUUUGUAUAAUGGGUCAGCGACUUAUAUUCUGUAGCAAGGUUAACCGUAUAGGGGAGCCGCAGGGAAACCGAGUCUUAACUGGGCGUUAAGUUGCAGGGUAUAGACCCGAAACCCGGUGAUCUAGCCAUGGGCAGGUUGAAGGUUGGGUAACACUAACUGGAGGACCGAACCGACUAAUGUUGAAAAAUUAGCGGAUGACUUGUGGCUGGGGGUGAAAGGCCAAUCAAACCGGGAGAUAGCUGGUUCUCCCCGAAAGCUAUUUAGGUAGCGCCUCGUGAAUUCAUCUUCGGGGGUAGAGCACUGUUUCGGCUAGGGGGUCAUCCCGACUUACCAACCCGAUGCAAACUACGAAUACCGAAGAAUGUUAUCACGGGAGACACACGGCGGGUGCUAACGUCCGUCGUGAAGAGGGAAACAACCCAGACCGCCAGCUAAGGUCCCAAAGUCAUGGUUAAGUGGGAAACGAUGUGGGAAGGCACAGACAGCCAGGAUGUUGGCUUAGAAGCAGCCAUCAUUUAAAGAAAGCGUAAUAGCUCACUGGUCGAGUCGGCCUGCGCGGAAGAUGUAACGGGGCUAAACCAUGCACCGAAGCUGCGGCAGCGACACUAUGUGUUGUUGGGUAGGGGAGCGUUCUGUAAGCCUGCGAAGGUGACCUGUGAGGGUUGCUGGAGGUAUCAGAAGUGCGAAUGCUGACAUAAGUAACGAUAAAGCGGGUGAAAAGCCCGCUCGCCGAAAGACCAAGGGUUCCUGUCCAACGUUAAUCGGGGCAGGGUGAGUCGACCCCUAAGGCGAGGCCGAAAGGCGUAGUCGAUGGGAAACAGGUUAAUAUUCCUGUACUUGGUGUUACUGCGAAGGGGGGACGGAGAAGGCUAUGUUAGCCGGGCGACGGUUGUCCCGGUUUAAGCAUGUAGGCUGGUUAUCCAGGCAAAUCCGGAUAAUCAAGGCUGAGGUGUGAUGACGAGGCACUACGGUGCUGAAGUAACAAAUGCCCUGCUUCCAGGAAAAGCCUCUAAGCAUCAGGUAACAUCAAAUCGUACCCCAAACCGACACAGGUGGUCAGGUAGAGAAUACCAAGGCGCUUGAGAGAACUCGGGUGAAGGAACUAGGCAAAAUGGUGCCGUAACUUCGGGAGAAGGCACGCUGGUGUGUAGGUGAAGUCCCUGCGGAUGGAGCUGAGACCAGUCGAAGAUACCAGCUGGCUGCAACUGUUUAUUAAAAACACAGCACUGUGCAAACACGAAAGUGGACGUAUACGGUGUGACGCCUGCCCGGUGCCGGAAGGUUAAUUGAUGGGGUUAUCCGUAAGGAGAAGCUCUUGAUCGAAGCCCCGGUAAACGGCGGCCGUAACUAUAACGGUCCUAAGGUAGCGAAAUUCCUUGUCGGGUAAGUUCCGACCUGCACGAAUGGCGUAAUGAUGGCCAGGCUGUCUCCACCCGAGACUCAGUGAAAUUGAACUCGCUGUGAAGAUGCAGUGUACCCGCGGCAAGACGGAAAGACCCCGUGAACCUUUACUAUAGCUUGACACUGAACAUUGAGCCUUGAUGUGUAGGAUAGGUGGGAGGCUUUGAAGCGUGGACGCCAGUCUGCGUGGAGCCAACCUUGAAAUACCACCCUUUAAUGUUUGAUGUUCUAACGUUGGCCCCUUACCGGGGUUGCGGACAGUGUCUGGUGGGUAGUUUGACUGGGGCGGUCUCCUCCCAAAGCGUAACGGAGGAGCACGAAGGUUAGCUAAUCCUGGUCGGACAUCAGGAGGUUAGUGCAAUGGCAUAAGCUAGCUUGACUGCGAGCGUGACGGCGCGAGCAGGUGCGAAAGCAGGUCAUAGUGAUCCGGUGGUUCUGAAUGGAAGGGCCAUCGCUCAACGGAUAAAAGGUACUCCGGGGAUAACAGGCUGAUACCGCCCAAGAGUUCAUAUCGACGGCGGUGUUUGGCACCUCGAUGUCGGCUCAUCACAUCCUGGGGCUGAAGUAGGUCCCAAGGGUAUGGCUGUUCGCCAUUUAAAGUGGUACGCGAGCUGGGUUUAGAACGUCGUGAGACAGUUCGGUCCCUAUCUGCCGUGGGCGCUGGAGAAUUGAGGGGGGCUGCUCCUAGUACGAGAGGACCGGAGUGGACGCAUCACUGGUGUUCGGGUUGUCAUGCCAAUGGCACUGCCCGGUAGCUAAAUGCGGAAGAGAUAAGUGCUGAAAGCAUCUAAGCACGAAACUUGCCCCGAGAUGAGUUCUCCCUGAGACUUUAAGUCUCCUGAAGGAACGUUAAAGACGAUGACGUUGAUAGGCCGGGUGUGUAAGCGCAGCGAUGCGUUGAGCUAACCGGUACUAAUGAACCGUGAGGCUUAACCU